This 102-nucleotide Y RNA is filed under the name Myotis brandtii (Brandt's bat). It matches the Rfam family "Y RNA". From Rfam's summary of the family: Y RNAs are components of the Ro ribonucleoprotein particle (Ro RNP), in association with Ro60 and La proteins. The Y RNAs and Ro60 and La proteins are well conserved, but the function of the Ro RNP is not known. In humans the RNA component can be one of four small RNAs -- hY1, hY3, hY4 and hY5. The record is from Rfam by way of RNAcentral. Lineage: Eukaryota; Metazoa; Chordata; Mammalia; Chiroptera; Vespertilionidae.
GGCUGGUCUGCGUGCAGUGGCACCUACAAUUAAUUGAUCACAGCCAGUUACAGAUUUCUUUGUUCCCUCUGCACUCCCACUGCUUCACUUGACUAGCCUUAA